This 253-nucleotide ribosomal RNA is filed under the name uncultured bacterium. RNAcentral's name for it is "partial 16S ribosomal RNA". It matches the Rfam family "Bacterial small subunit ribosomal RNA", at positions 524 to 776 of the family's 1533-position model. The record is from RNAcentral.
UACAGGGGGUGCAAACGUUGCUCGGAAUCAUUGGGCGUAAAGCGUGCGCAGGCGGUUUUGUAAGCCAGAUGUGAAAUCCCCGGGCUUAACCUGGGAAUGGCAUUUGGGACUGCAAGGCUUGAGUUUGGCAGAGGAGACUGGAAUUCCUGGUGUAGCAGUGAAAUGCGUAGAUAUCAGGAGGAAUACCGAUGGCGAAGGCAGGUCUCUGGGCUAGAACUGACGCUCAUGCACGAAAGCGUGGGGAGCAAACAGG